This 844-nucleotide ribosomal RNA is filed under the name uncultured Alteromonadaceae bacterium. RNAcentral's name for it is "bacterial SSU rRNA". It matches the Rfam family "Bacterial small subunit ribosomal RNA", at positions 373 to 1211 of the family's 1533-position model. The record is from RNAcentral. Lineage: Bacteria; Pseudomonadati; Pseudomonadota; Gammaproteobacteria; Alteromonadales; Alteromonadaceae.
AGGGGGAACCUGAUGCAGCCAUGCCGCGUGUGUGAAGAAGGCCUUCGGGUUGUAAAGCACUUUCAGUUGUGAGGAAAAGUUAGUAGUUAAUACCUGCUAGCCGUGACGUUAACAACAGAAGAAGCACCGGCUAACUCCGUGCCAGCAGCCGCGGUAAUACGGAGGGUGCGAGCGUUAAUCGGAAUUACUGGGCGUAAAGCGCACGCAGGCGGUUUGUUAAGCUAGAUGUGAAAGCCCCGGGCUCAACCUGGGAUGGUCAUUUAGAACUGGCAGACUAGAGUCUUGGAGAGGGGAGUGGAAUUCCAGGUGUAGCGGUGAAAUGCGUAGAUAUCUGGAGGAACAUCAGUGGCGAAGGCGACUCCCUGGCCAAAGACUGACGCUCAUGCGCGAAAGUGUGGGUAGCGAACAGGAUUAGAUACCCUGGUAGUCCACACCGUAAACGCUGUCUACUAGCUGUUUGUGACUUUAAGUCGUGAGUAGCGAAGCUAACGCGCUAAGUAGACCGCCUGGGGAGUACGGCCGCAAGGUUAAAACUCAAAUGAAUUGACGGGGGCCCGCACAAGCGGUGGAGCAUGUGGUUUAAUUCGAUGCAACGCGAAGAACCUUACCUACACUUGACAUGCAGAGAACUUUCCAGAGAUGGAUUGGUGCCUUCGGGAACUCUGACACAGGUGCUGCAUGGCUGUCGUCAGCUCGUGUCGUGAGAUGUUGGGUUAAGUCCCGCAACGAGCGCAACCCUUGUCCUUAGUUGCCAGCAUUCAGUUGGGCACUCUAAGGAGACUGCCGGUGACAAACCCGGAAGAAGGUGGGGACGACGUCAAGUCAUCAUGGCCCUUACGUGUAG